CCUACGGGAGGCUGCAGUGGGGAAUAUUGGACAAUGGGGGGAACCCUGAUCCAGCCAUGCCGCGUGUGUGAAGAAGGCCCUCGGGUUGUAAAGCACUUUCAGUGAGGAAGAACGCCUGGUGGUUAAUACCCAUCAGGAAAGACAUCACUCACAGAAGAAGCACCGGCUAACUCCGUGCCAGCAGCCGCGGUAAUACGGAGGGUGCGAGCGUUAAUCGGAAUUACUGGGCGUAAAGCGCGCGUAGGUGGCUUGAUAAGCCGGUUGUGAAAGCCCCGGGCUCAACCUGGGAACGGCAUCCGGAACUGUCAAGCUAGAGUGCAGGAGAGGAAGGUAGAAUUGCCGGUGUAGCGGUGAAAUGCGUAGGGAUCGGGAGGAAUACCAGUGGCGAAGGCGGCCUUCUGGACUGACACUGACACUGAGGUGCGAAGGCGUGGGUAGCAAACAGGAUUAGAUACCCGUGUAGUC
Molecule: ribosomal RNA, 465 nt
Filed under: Vreelandella stevensii
Lineage: Bacteria; Pseudomonadati; Pseudomonadota; Gammaproteobacteria; Oceanospirillales; Halomonadaceae
Description: partial 16S ribosomal RNA
Rfam family: Bacterial small subunit ribosomal RNA
Source: RNAcentral